AAAGAAAGUAAGCAAGGGCGCAUGGCGGAUGCCUUGGCUCUCGGAGGCGAUGAAGGACGUGAUAAGCUGCGAUAAGCUUCGGGAAGGUGCAAAUAACCUUUGAUCCGAAGAUUUCCGAAUGGGACAACCCGUCAUUCUGAAGGAAUGACAUCUUGCAUAGCAAGAGGCUAACGCAGGGAACUGAAACAUCUUAGUACCUGCAGGAAAAGAAAAUAAUAAUGAUUCCCCAAGUAGUGGCGAGCGAACGGGGAUUAGCCCAAACCAAUGUUGUUACGGCAAUAUUGGGGUUGUAGGACCACGAUGUCGCAAGAACUUUAGUGAGAAGAAUUCUUUGGAAAAUGAAACCAUAGACGGUGAUAGUCCGGUAUUCGAAGCUAAACGAAGCGUAGUGGUAUCCUGAGUAGCGCGGGACACGAGGAAUCUUGCGUGAAUCUGCCGGGACCAUCCGGUAAGGCUAAAUACUCCCGAGAGACCGAUAGCGAACCAGUACUGUGAAGGAAAGGUGAAAAGCACUUCGAAUAGAAGAGUGAAAUAGUCCCUGAAACCGUGCGCCUACAAGCGGUCGGAGCAGCGUAAGCUGUGACGGCGUGCCUUUUGCAUAAUGAACCUACGAGUUACUUUUUCCGGCAAGGUUAAGCAUUUCAAAAUGUGUAGCCGAAGCGAAAGCGAGUCUGAACAGGGCGAUUAGUCGGAAGGAGUAGACGCGAAACCAAGUGAUCUACCCUUGGUCAGGUUGAAGGUUAGGUAACACUAACUGGAGGACCGAACCGAUAAGCGUUGAAAAGCUUCCGGAUGAACUGAGGGUGGGGGUGAAAGGCUAAUCAAACUUGGAGAUAGCUCGUACUCCCCGAAAUGCAUUUAGGUGCAGCCUUGGGAAUUACUACUGUGAGGUAGAGCGACUGAUAAGAUGCGAGGGCUUCACCGCCUAUCAAGUCUUGAUAAACUCCGAAUGCGCAGUAGUUCGAUCCCAGGAGUGAGGGCAUGGGUGCUAAGGUCCAUGUCCUAAAGGAGAAGAAUCCGGACCAUCAGCUAAGGUCCCGAAAUAAUUGCUAAGUUGAACUAACGAAGUCAGAUUGCUAAGACAGCUAGGAUGUUGGCUUGGAAGCAGCCAUUCAUUUAAAGAGUGCGUAACAGCUCACUAGUCGAGGAGUUUGGCGUGGAUAAUAAUCGGGCAUUAAGCAAUUUACCGAAGCUAUGGGAUCAGUAAUGAUCGGUAGGGGAGCAUUCCACUCUGCGUCGAAGGUGAAGCGUGAGCUUUGCUGGAGCGUGUGGAAAAGCAAAUGUAGGUAUAAGUAACGAUAAAGGGGGUGAGAAACCCCCUCGCCGAAAGACUAAGGUUUCCUGAUCAACGCUAAUCGGAUCAGGGUUAGUCGGGUCCUAAGGCUCAGCCGAACGGUGAGGCCGAUGGCAGAACAGGUUAAUAUUCCUGUACUACCUUAAAGAGUGACGUGGAGACGGAGCAGUGAUAGCGCCGCGGACUGACGGAAUAGUCCGUUGAAGGGUGUAGAUGUUGAUCUUUGCAGGCAAAUCCACAAAGAGAGUCGAACCUGAUAGUAU
Molecule: ribosomal RNA, 1557 nt
Filed under: Bacteroides xylanisolvens
Lineage: Bacteria; Pseudomonadati; Bacteroidota; Bacteroidia; Bacteroidales; Bacteroidaceae
Description: partial 23S ribosomal RNA
Rfam family: Bacterial large subunit ribosomal RNA
Source: RNAcentral